RNAcentral lists this long non-coding RNA (572 nucleotides) under Homo sapiens (human). Its description in RNAcentral is "long intergenic non-protein coding RNA 454". Lineage: Eukaryota; Metazoa; Chordata; Mammalia; Primates; Hominidae. The record is from RNAcentral.
GAGGGACAUGGGGACGCUGAGGCAGCGCACGCGGGCCACCAUCGGCCAAGGAUGAGACCAUUAGAACAUCUGCAAUGGGUUGAAACGCCUCGAAUGCAACACAGACACAGGAAGCAUCAACUCUGAGGCUUUGGCCAGGAUGUGAGCCCGACUUUCGCAGCCCCAACUGGCAGGCUGACCUCAUGUGAACUCCCUGGCGAUGGCAUCCUGGAGACACCCACAUGGCUGAGCUGGCACCAUAGGCACUCAUAAUCCAGGUUCAGUUUCUGCCAGCACUAAUUUGGUUUAUUCCACAUGGCUGGAGCCACUGCGGGACUCCAUUUGUUCCGGGGCCACCUUCCUGUCACCUUUUACUGUUUCUUGAGUCAGCAAGAAAGGCAGAUCCGACUGAAGACUCCAGCACUCUCCUCAGCUGCAGCCCCCACAGAGCUCCGCGAAGUCCUUUCUCCCACAGGACAGAUCUGAGGCACCCACCAUUAGAAGAAAGGAGUGGAGAAAUGAUAUGCAGGAAGAAGGCCCAUUCUGAUUCACCAAUCGCAUGGACGCACUUUCCUACCAGGCUAGGAGGGAGG